This is a long non-coding RNA of Salvelinus sp. IW2-2015, 810 nucleotides long. RefSeq lists it as uncharacterized. The record is from RefSeq and is a predicted model, not a curated record. The transcript is spliced from 2 exons. Lineage: Eukaryota; Metazoa; Chordata; Actinopteri; Salmoniformes; Salmonidae.
GGCAACAGGAGGGUAUGUGCGAAAUCUGCAUUUCUGUUGUGAUUACAUUUCAUAAUGGUGUGCGUGUCUCCUCUUUAUCACACAGUGGCUCCACCCAGCCCUCCUGACUCAGACGUGCCAGUGCUGCUCAUCGUGUGUGUAACCCUUGCUGUGGUUUUGGUGGUGGUUUUUCUGGGGAUCGACUAUGGCUUCCAACGCCACAGGUAGUAUAAACCCUAGAGGGUGUCUCACACACAGGACAGUCAAUGGACCUAUUCAAAUACCCUUAACAUGUAUUGUUCCUUCUUUCCAUGAGGAAAUCAAUGAUCCGACACUUUGAUUAACGCAAUGGGGAACGCACGUUUUCACGUAUCCACUCUUGUACUGAUCAGUGAUUACCUCAGGGAAGGGAGGAAAGAAAGCAUCCAUUUUAGAGCUAUUCACUCACUGCACAGAUAUAACAUGGUGGUAAGUCUCCUCUUCGUUUCCAUCAGUGCUAAGAGAAACACAACUGACGCCAUGAGGAGACAUGGGUCCAUGAGGAUGAGUCCCGAAGGACUGGCUGUGGAACAUAGGCGUGUUUGUCUGUACAGGAUGUGCAUCUGCAUGCAAAUGUAUUGGCUGAAGCCCAGUAGCAACAUAUUCCAAAUGGCAUCCUAUUCCCUAUUUGGUGAAACUAUUUUGACCAGAGCCCUAUGAGUCCUGGUCAAAAUGAGUGUACUAUAAAGGGAAUAGGGUGCCAUUUGUAACACAACCAUCAUUUCAACAAAGUCUGGAGUUAAGUAUCACAUCAGUCUGUCUGCAAUAAACAUUUUGAGCAGCAAAAUCAAA